This 95-nucleotide transfer RNA is filed under the name Stieleria marina. Its description in RNAcentral is "Planctomycetes bacterium K23_9 tRNA". It matches the Rfam family "tRNA". Rfam says of the family: Transfer RNA (tRNA) molecules are approximately 80 nucleotides in length. Their secondary structure includes four short double-helical elements and three loops (D, anti-codon, and T loops). RNAcentral also lists the same sequence under 1 other name. The record is from Rfam by way of RNAcentral. Lineage: Bacteria; Pseudomonadati; Planctomycetota; Planctomycetia; Pirellulales; Pirellulaceae.
GGGGCUGUGGUGUAACUGGCAGCAUGACGGACUUCGGGCACCGACGCGCAGCGUUGGUCGUCGUGUAGGUGAGGGUUCAACUCCCUUCGGCCCCA